This 494-nucleotide ribosomal RNA is filed under the name uncultured bacterium. RNAcentral's name for it is "partial 16S ribosomal RNA". It matches the Rfam family "Bacterial small subunit ribosomal RNA", at positions 28 to 507 of the family's 1533-position model. The record is from RNAcentral.
GACGAACGCUGGCGGCGUGCUUAACACAUGCAAGUCGAACGGAAAGGCCUGCUUUCCCUUGUGGAUUGCGGGUACUCGAGUGGCGAACGGGUGAGUAACACGUGAGUGAUCUGCCCCCAACUUGGGUAUAAGCCUGGGAAACUGGGUCUAAUUCCCGAUAGGACUGCAGGGUGGUGCCUGUGGUGGAAAACGAUUUUCUAGUGGUUGGGGAUGAGCUCGCGGCCUAUCAGCUUGUUGGUGGGGUAAUGGCCUACCAAGGCGGCGACGGGUAGCCGGCCUGAGAGGGUGGACGGCCACAUUGGGACUGAGAUACGGCCCAGACUCCUACGGGAGGCAGCAGUGGGUAAUAUUGCACAAUGGGCGGAAGCCUGAUGCAGCGACGCCGCGUGGGGGAUGACGGCCUUCGGGUUGUAAACUCCUUUCGACCGCGAGGAAGCCACCUGGUUGGAAGGGUGGUGACGGUAGUGGUAGAAGAAGCACCGGCUAACUACGUG